ACGUCUAGAAAGAAGCAACUUCUAAGCAGAGAAGUUUUCCAGUGAGCCCUUUUCUUCAAAGUGCGGGAAGGCAGUAGAAUUGGAAAGAGAAGCAAGUCAUUUUUCUCCAGAGCUACUGAAGCUUGCCAUUGAGUUCCUGCAAGGCAGAGUGAAGGUAAGUAAAAAAUGUAUUGAAUUGAUUUGCUUCAGGUGCCUGUUUUUUUAAAAAUGGCUAUCUUGAGUGUUUAUAAAUGUGUUUUGGAGUUAGUGUUAACUGGGCCCUUUUGUGAUCCUCAUCUUGUGGAUUUUUCUUGGG
RNAcentral lists this long non-coding RNA (295 nucleotides) under Phasianus colchicus (ring-necked pheasant). RNAcentral's name for it is "lncRNA (ENSPCLG00000008123.1)". Lineage: Eukaryota; Metazoa; Chordata; Aves; Galliformes; Phasianidae. The record is from RNAcentral.